RNAcentral lists this transfer RNA (73 nucleotides) under Gemmatimonadota bacterium. RNAcentral describes it as "tRNA-Ala". It matches the Rfam family "tRNA". From Rfam's summary of the family: Transfer RNA (tRNA) molecules are approximately 80 nucleotides in length. Their secondary structure includes four short double-helical elements and three loops (D, anti-codon, and T loops). Lineage: Bacteria; Pseudomonadati; Gemmatimonadota. The record is from RNAcentral.
GGCGCCGUAGGCGAACUGGAAAGCCACCGGCCUCGCAAGAUCGGAGAUGCGGGUUCGAGUCCCGCCGGCGCCU